GCUGGAGGUUCUGGCUGCAAGGUCAUUCCUAUGGCUGUUGGCAGGGGUCUCAGACCCACACCAUGUGGGCCUCACCAGAGAACUGCUCACCAUAUGGCAGCUGUUUUCCUUUUGGAUUGAAGUACAUAUAGAAGUAUUUGCAUAUAUCUGAACUCCAUACCUGCUAAAUAUUCAUAUACCUGUGGAAAACAAACCCAUCAAGAUAGAGAAGAUUAAGGUCUCUCCGGAAAGUUCUCCUGGAUCCCUUAGUAAAAUCUCAUCUCACCCCACCCCACUCCUCCAGUGGCAGAAAGUUUUCUGAUAUUUUCCAUUAGUUUUGACUGUUUUAGAACUUCAGGUGAAUGUAAUAAUAAAGUCUAUAAUUUUGUAUGUGA
Ictidomys tridecemlineatus (thirteen-lined ground squirrel) is the source of this 374-nucleotide non-coding RNA. NCBI's taxonomy places the organism in Eukaryota, Metazoa, Chordata, Mammalia, Rodentia, Sciuridae. The record is from RefSeq and is a predicted model, not a curated record.